UAUGUUUGUUUCACUUUGUUUGUUCUUGAAGAUCUGCAGGAUCUGCAAGUUCUGGCUCCAACUAAAAAUAGAAUAGAUUGAGACAUUCCGCUAUCGUGAAGGUUUGCUCAUCUCUGAGGUAUUGGGAGUACAUUAUAGACAUCAUUAAAUUUAUAGCUCUUGUGGUUAGGAUAAAGAAAAAAGUGGUCAUACUGCUGGCAAGUUUAUAUCAACACCUGAGCAUAUAAAAGAUUAAAAGCUUUGGAGGCAAGUCUGCCAAGAGCCUGAGUUCCACUGCCUUCCUUGUGGCUGAGGGUAGUUAUGCAGCAAAAUUUAUUCGCAUCUGUAAAUUUGAU
Long non-coding RNA from Zonotrichia albicollis (white-throated sparrow), 335 nucleotides. The record is from Ensembl. NCBI's taxonomy places the organism in Eukaryota, Metazoa, Chordata, Aves, Passeriformes, Passerellidae.